RNAcentral lists this ribosomal RNA (254 nucleotides) under uncultured bacterium. Its description in RNAcentral is "partial 16S ribosomal RNA". It matches the Rfam family "Bacterial small subunit ribosomal RNA", at positions 524 to 776 of the family's 1533-position model. The record is from RNAcentral.
UACGUAGGGGGCAAGCGUUACCCGGAUUUACUGGGCGUAAAGCGCGUGUAGGCGGCUGGCCAAGUGUGGUGUGAAAUCCCCCGGCUCAACCGGGGAACUGCAUUGCAAACUGGUCUGGCUAGAGUGCAGGAGAGGGAAGUGGAAUUCCCGGUGUAGCGGUGAAAUGCGUAGAGAUCAGGAGGAACACCGAUGGCGAAAGCAGGUACCUGGACCAUUACUGACACUCAGCUGCGAAAGCUAGGGGAGCAAACAGG